RNAcentral lists this long non-coding RNA (2479 nucleotides) under Homo sapiens (human). RNAcentral describes it as "HSALNT0391730". Lineage: Eukaryota; Metazoa; Chordata; Mammalia; Primates; Hominidae. The record is from RNAcentral.
GCUAGGUCAGUGGGGACGGGGAGAUGAAAUGGCACCUGGCGCUGCUGCGCACCCCCCAUCUUUUCUCUGGCAGGGGAGAGGAGGGGGGGACAGACACACUGGUCUGCCCAGGCGGCUGCAGCUCUGGGACACCAGCCACAGGGCACUGGGAGCCCGGAGUGCUGUCGGAGGCUUUUGUUCCCUGUUGCCGGGAUAUCUGCCUGCUCAGUCAUCCGAGCUCUGAGCCGCAGGGUGGCUCUCGGUGCCACCCCCGUCGCCUGCCCUCCCUCCCUCACCCUGCCGCUGACAGCCUCUGGCCAAAGCCCUCGGCUCCCCCAGGGCCUGGACCACCGUCUCCCUUUGCCUGGGCCUGGCUGGCCCUCUCUAGAGAAGAAAACAAAUCCAUUCCACGGGCUAGGGAAUGUCGGUGAAACAACCUGGCCACACCGCACUUCUUAGAAGCAAAUAUUCUAUGGGAGAAACAAUCACAAGGGGUAACUCUAGAGCCUCAAGCACUGAAGUCAUCAACUGAGUUGGUGACACUCCAAACCCCCUUGGGCUGGGGUGCAAGAGCUGACGGACGCAGCCUUGGCGGCCACCUUCUCCUUCAAGCUCCUUGGCCAGGUGGGAGCCGUCAGGUCCACAUGCACACCUCCAACACUUCCCAAGCGAUGGCCAGCGCUAAAGCAGAAGCAAUAGGAUGACAUCUGCUGGUGCGUCUGUAUCCAGGCCGGGCAUACGUGUGCUCUGGAGGUGCCCCUGAGGGAGGGGCCUCAGAGCAGCAGGGGGAAGAGUCUGGCUCCUGGAACACAUAGUGUUCCCUGCUUGGGGGAGACUUUCCUGCCCUCCUUCUUCCUCCUACGUCCUUGCUCUGUGGGCCAUUCCUUCUCUUCUAGCCUUACUGGAAACAACAUUCUUCCAACUGAAGAUGUAACUGAGGCCUGAAUUAUGGUAAAGGAAGAUUAUUACAACAGCCUUUAAAAUACUUGCCUAAGCUGAGCUCCUGAAGAAACUUGGACCUGUCUCCUUGACCACGCCUUUAGUACGUCUGCCGGCCCGAGAGUCCUCUUUUACAGUAAUGUUGACCAUAUUCCUAACUAAAGCAAGACCUGACCAGCUGCCAAAUAGUCCUCCCCCUCCCCCCAGUGGAAGAAAUGGCUACUGCUAUUCAACACUGAGAAUGCCAGAACAGCUCUGUGGGGCUCCACUGAAAACCUGCAGCAGGGAGGCUGAUGAUGGGAGCUGCUUAGAGAGCUUCCGAAUCUACUUCAGGUAAAUAUGGACCUGUAUGUAUCUCCUGCAGCACCCGCACCUGACAUCCAUGGCUCUGAGGCCCAGAAAGAGCUGAGGAGGUCAUAGAGAUCAUCAAUGCUCUGCUUGCUUUGAUGUACCAUUAAGAAGACGAUCUUUCCUCUAACAGCCCCAUACAACUGAGCAGCGCCACCACGUCAUACCGGUACCCUUUUCUUUACCCCUUAAAGAAUACCCAGGAAAGAAAGAUAACUAAAGGAAGUAAAGGACCAGAUCUUUUACCACCUUCCUGCGUGGGUGAUCCAUCCUCUUCCUCUAUAACAUCAUUUCCCUAGGACAGAAGGAAGGCCCUGUGAGUCUAUGAAGCGGCAAAAUGAGUAAACUGAUUGGCUGAAGACAGAACUAAUCAUCCUACUGGUAUCUAACUCCAGGGCCUACGUUAAUAGCAUAUAUUUCCAUCUGUGUUUAAUAUGCCUCAGAGGCUGAGUAGAGGCAGAUCUUGCUUGGAGAGGCACCAUCUGCCUACAGGGAUUAGAUCCGAGCCACAUUACCCAUAUAUGCUCAGAAUGGUCUGUCAGGAACACCCUUGUUAAUAGUUUAGCUGAUACUGUUUCUCUAAGGUGGAAGUAAAAAUUACUAAAUGAAAGAGCAAAUUGUGAGAUCAUAAGACUUUCAGAAAUCCCUUAAGAUCCCAAACCCCAUCCAGAUCCUCCAUUGACAGGAGUUGGCUCAAGAAGAGUUCUAGGGCUCUCACUGUGAGCUGGCGUUCCACAGCACACCAUGGUCAGGGCACGUCUCACACUGAACUGUGGUCCUGUCUGCCUGCUAGACUGGGCUCCUAGAUGGGUGCAGUGGGCUGGGGGUAGGCAGAAACCUCACCACACAGGUCUGUAUAGGUCUAUAUGUGCCCUAGCACCAGUAGAGCACCUGUGACACAGUCCUCCAUGUAAAUACUAGUGGAAUGAAGGACAAUAUAUUCUCAAGGCCAGGGGCUGGCCAGAAAAGUUCCCUCUUGAACUCACUCCACACCAGUGACCCUGGGAACCAGUGGCCCCACUCACUGGACAGUCCACAGGCCCGGGAGCAGCUGCUCUCAUCUCUACCCACAUUCCACUUCUCACUGAUCUAGGCAUGUCCCCUAGGAAGGCUUCGUCAGCGCAGCCUCCUGGCCCUGGUCCUUACUGGCAUCCCCAGCCAAGGCCAGCACUCCUCUGGUUGUGGGAAGGGGGCACCACUCCGUGCUGUUGGG